AACCCAGGAUGGUAGUUAAUUAUGCCUUCCUUGGGCAGGGAUUAUGGCAGGGAUAUGCAAGGCACUCUAAUACUUAGCCUUCUAAGCAGACUGGGAAAGGGGGAUUCUCUGGUUUUCUCUUUCUCCCCACUUACUAGGACUUGCCUUCUCCCUGAGCCACGAGAGAGGCUGGGUUGGUGCUCUCCCCUUACUCUGCUCCUACUGACUUAGAACCUCUGGCUGCUGUACGAUAGCCCAGGAAAGGGAAUGGAAAGAAUGGGCUCAAAACAGUAAUGUGAGGAAGGUGAUUCCCUUCCUUAAAAAGGGAAAUCAGAAACUCUCCAAGAAUUCUGUAAGUAAAGACAAUGUGUCUGAAUGCACUGAGUCCUCUGGUGUCAUAGCAAUAAGGAAAAAUGAAUUGACUUCCUGUGCACACAGUCCAACCUGAUGGGUGUAUGUUGUUGCACUUAGCAGCCAUGUGGUGGGCACGUGUGACAACUCUGGGUUUCACUUUAUUUUCUAAACUUCUUAUUCCUCUCAAGUCCAGCAUGGAUGGGGAAAUGUCCCUGGAGCCCCGCAGCUGUGUACUUGUUUGCAUUUGUUUCCCAUUGAGACUUGUGUUUGUGUCCUGCUUUGAGCUGUACCCUGUCCCGUCCAUUGUGAAAUUAUCCCAGCAGCUGUAAUGUACAGUUCCCUUCUCAAGCAAGCAACAGCAGCACAAUCCUGUGUUUUAUAAAGACAACAGUGGCUUUUAUUUCUAAA
Molecule: long non-coding RNA, 741 nt
Filed under: Rattus norvegicus (Norway rat)
Lineage: Eukaryota; Metazoa; Chordata; Mammalia; Rodentia; Muridae
Description: long non-coding RNA NONRATT023611
Source: RNAcentral